This 421-nucleotide ribosomal RNA is filed under the name uncultured bacterium. Its description in RNAcentral is "bacterial SSU rRNA". It matches the Rfam family "Bacterial small subunit ribosomal RNA", at positions 355 to 775 of the family's 1533-position model. The record is from RNAcentral.
UAAGGAAUAUUCCACAAUGGGCGCAAGCCUGAUGGAGCGACGCCGCGUGCGGGACGAAGCCUUUCGGGGUGUAAACCGCUUUUGUAGGGGAUGACACUCUGGAGCAAUCCAGAUACGACAGUACCCUACGAAUAAGCAUCGGCUAACUACGUGCCAGCAGCCGCGGUAAUACGUAGGAUGCAAGCGUUGUCCGGAUUUACUGGGCGUAAAGCGCGCGCAGGCGGCAGGUUAAGUAAGGUGUGAAAUCUCCCUGCUCAACGGGGAGGGUGCACUUUAGACUGACCAGCUAGAGGGCGGUAGAGGGUGGUGGAAUUGCUGGUGUAGCGGUGAAAUGCGUAGAGAUCAGCAGGAACACCCGUGGCGAAGGCGGCCACCUGGGCCGUACCUGACGCUGAGGCGCGAAGGCUAGGGGAGCGAACGG